This 295-nucleotide long non-coding RNA is filed under the name Sus scrofa (pig). RNAcentral's name for it is "lncRNA (ENSSSCG00035001660.1)". The record is from RNAcentral. Lineage: Eukaryota; Metazoa; Chordata; Mammalia; Artiodactyla; Suidae.
ACUGAAGGGAAGUUGAGCCACCAUGUUAAAGGAAGGGAAAAUGCAGUUGCAGGUGAAUUCUGGGAGUAGAAGAGAGAAUAAAAGUGAAUAAAAGAACAGCUGCAAACCUCCACGAACUCAGUGGACCUUGGGAGAAGAAUGAGAAGAGUAACAGGCACUGCAACAUUGGAAAGAGUGCUGCACUUGGCAUUUGACAUCCCGGCUCUGCUUCUCAUGAAUUGGGUCCCUUUGCAAGCAGCUUCAUCUCUGUGAGUUUCAGGUUCCUCAUUUGUAAAUUGUAGAUAAAUCACUACCU